GUACACGCUGUGACUAGCAUAUCAAUAAGCGGAGGAAAAGAAACUAACAAGGAUUCCCCUAGUAACGGCGAGUGAAGCGGGAAGAGCUCAAAUUUGAAAUCUUAAAGGGUUUCCCUUUACGAAUUGUAGUUUAAAGAAGUGUUUUCUGCUGAGGUUUUGGUAAAAGUUCUUUGGAAUAGGACAUCAUAGAGGGUGAGAAUCCCGUAUUUGACCUUUACUUUCAACUUUGUGAUACACUUUCAAAGAGUCGGAUUGUUUGGGAAUGCAGUCCAAAAUGGGUGGUAAAUUUCAUCUAAAGCUAAAUAUUGGCGAGAGACCGAUAGCGAACAAGUACCGUGAGGGAAAGAUGAAAAGAACUUUGAAAAGAGAGUUAAACAGUACGUGAAAUUGUCAAAAGGGAAGCGUUUGACACCAGUGUUGUUUUUCUGAAAAUCAAUUAAAGAACUGUUUAUGCUAAGUUGUUUAGACUUUAUCAGCUAACUGUUUAGUUUUGAGCUUUUCUUUAAUGCACUUUUCAGUUAACAAGUCAACAUCAAUUUCUUUUGCUGUAAAAAAGCUUGAGGAAGGUGGCUUGAGAUUCGUCUUAAGUGUUUAUAGCCUCUUGCCUAUGCAGUCGGAGAGAUUGAGGUCUGCAGCGUAGAUCCUUCGGGGCUAAAUGCAUUUGUGCUAAGUUAUAGCAUUUUAUAGACAACUUGUUGACUAUGAUUUGUCUUGUAGCUUACUCGCUUAUGUUAUUUUACCUACGCUUAGGAUGUUGAGUCGUAGAGCACGCAG
This 774-nucleotide ribosomal RNA is filed under the name uncultured Neocallimastigales. RNAcentral's name for it is "partial large subunit ribosomal RNA". It matches the Rfam family "Eukaryotic large subunit ribosomal RNA", at positions 22 to 628 of the family's 3401-position model. Lineage: Eukaryota; Fungi; Neocallimastigomycota; Neocallimastigomycetes; Neocallimastigales. The record is from RNAcentral.